This 669-nucleotide ribosomal RNA is filed under the name Pseudoalteromonas tunicata. Its description in RNAcentral is "bacterial SSU rRNA". It matches the Rfam family "Bacterial small subunit ribosomal RNA", at positions 93 to 754 of the family's 1533-position model. Lineage: Bacteria; Pseudomonadati; Pseudomonadota; Gammaproteobacteria; Alteromonadales; Pseudoalteromonadaceae. The record is from RNAcentral.
GAGCGGCGGACGGGUGAGUAAUGCUUGGGAACAUGCCUUUAGGUGGGGGACAACAGUUGGAAACGACUGCUAAUACCGCAUGAUGUCUACGGACCAAAGUGGGGGACCUUCGGGCCUCACGCCUAAAGAUUGGCCCAAGUGGGAUUAGCUAGUUGGUGAGGUAAUGGCUCACCAAGGCAACGAUCUCUAGCUGGUUUGAGAGGAUGAUCAGCCACACUGGAACUGAGACACGGUCCAGACUCCUACGGGAGGCAGCAGUGGGGAAUAUUGCACAAUGGGCGAAAGCCUGAUGCAGCCAUGCCGCGUGUGUGAAGAAGGCCUUCGGGUUGUAAAGCACUUUCAGUCAGGAGGAAAGGUUACGUUUUAAUAGAGCGUAGCUGUGACGUUACUGACAGAAGAAGCACCGGCUAACUCCGUGCCAGCAGCCGCGGUAAUACGGAGGGUGCGAGCGUUAAUCGGAAUUACUGGGCGUAAAGCGUACGCAGGCGGUUGAUUAAGCGAGAUGUGAAAGCCCCGGGCUCAACCUGGGAACUGCAUUUCGAACUGGUCAACUAGAGUGUGAUAGAGGGUGGUAGAAUUUCAGGUGUAGCGGUGAAAUGCGUAGGAGAUCUGAAGGGAAUACCGAUGGGCGAAGGGCAGCCACCUGGGUCAACACUGACGCUCAUGUAC